NNNNNNNNNNNNNNNNNNNNNNNNNNNNNNNNNNNNNNNNNNNNNNNNNNNNNNNNNNNNNNNUGGGAUUGGGACACCGGGAACGGAACGGGAUCAGCAAUGGAACGGGAUUGGGAUUGGGAAUGGGAUUGGGACACCGGGAACAGACUGGGAUUGGGAUUGGGAAUGGGAUUGGGACACCGGGAACGGAACAGGAUCAGCAAUGGAACGGGAUUGGGAUUGGGAUGGGAUGGGAUGGGAUCGGGACACCAGGGACAGACUGGGAUUGGGAAUGGGAUUUGGAUGGGAUUGGGACACCGGGAACGGACAUUGGGAUCGGGACAUUGGGAUCAGAACGGGACCGGGACACCGGGAAUGGGAUCGGGAUCAGGAGAGCGAGAUCAGAGCGGGACAGCGGGAACGGACGGGAUUGGGAUGCCGGGAAUGGACUGGGACCGACAAUGGAACGGGAAUGGGAUUGGGAUUGGGAAUGGGAACAGGGCAGGAAUGGGAAUGGAAAUGGACCGGGAUUGGAUUGGGAUUGGGAGCAGGAAUGGCCCAGGAAUGGGAACGGGAACAGACUGGGAUCCCAGGAAUGGAGCAGGAAUGGGAUUGGGAACGGGAUCAGGAACGGGAUCAAAGCGGGGUCCCAGGAUUGGGAUCGGGAGCAGGAUCAGACCGGGAUUGGGAUUGGGAUCAGACCGGGAUCCUAGGAAUGGAUUGGGAUUGGGAACAGAGCGGGAUUGGGAAUGGGAAUGGACCAGGAUUGGAUUGGGAUUGGGAUUAGGAAUGGGAUCAGGAACAGACCAGGAUUGGGAUCAGGAAUGGGAUUGGGAAUGGGAACAGGGCGGGAAUGGGAAUGGGAACGGACCAGGAUUGGGAUUGGGAGCAGGAAUGGGAUCGGGAACAGGAACAGGAUUGGGAUCAGGAAUGGGAUUGGGAUUGGGAACAGGAUUGGGAUUGGGAAUGAGAUCAGGAACAGGAUUGGGAUUGGGAUCAGGAAUGGGAUCAGGAACAGACCAGGAUUGGGAUCAGAUUGGGAUUGGGAUCAGGAACGGACCAGGAUUGGGAUUGGGGUCAGGAAUGGGAUUGGGAUUGGGAACAGGGCGGGAAUGGGAAUGGGAAUGGACCGGGAUUGGAUUGGGAUCAGGAUCAGACCGGGAUUGGGAACAGGAUUGGGAUUGGGAAUGGGAUCAGGAACAGGAACGGAAUCAAAGCAGGGUCCUGGGAAUGGGAUCGGGAUCAGGAUCAGACCAGGAUUGGGAACAGGAUUGGGCCGGGAUCCUAGGAAUGGAUUGGGAUUGGGAACAGAGCGGGAAUGGGAUUGGGAUCAGGAAUGGGAUUGGGAUCAGGAACAGGAUUGGGGUCAGGAAUGGGAUUGGGAUUGGGAACAGGAUUGGGAUUGGGAAUGAGAUCAGGAACAGGAACAGGAUUGGGAUUGGGAUCAGACCGGGAUCCUAGGAAUGGAUUGGGAUUGGAAACAGAGCAGGAUUGGGAUUGGGAUCAGGAAUGGGAUUGGGAUCAGGAAUGGGAUCACAAACAGACCAGGAUUGGGGUCAGACCGGGAUUGGGAUCAGGAAUGGACCAGGAUUGGGAUUGGGAUCAGGAAUGGGAUUGGGAUCAGACCGGGAUUGGGAUUGGGAUCAGGAAUGGGAUUGGGAUUGGGAACAGAGCGGGAAUGGGAAUGGGAACGGACCAGGAUUGGAUCGGGAUUGGGGUCAGGAAUGGGAUUGGGAUUGGGAUCAGGAUCAGACUGAGAUUGGGAGCAGGAUUGGACCAGGAUUGGGAUUGGGAACAGGGCGGGAAUGGGAAUGCGCCAGGAUUGGGAUUGGGAUCGGGAUUGGGAUCAGGAUUGGAUUGGAUUGGGAUUGGGAUGGGGAUCAGGAUCGGGAACGGCAAUGGGAUCACACCGGGA
This is a long non-coding RNA of Zonotrichia albicollis (white-throated sparrow), 1894 nucleotides long. The record is from Ensembl. Lineage: Eukaryota; Metazoa; Chordata; Aves; Passeriformes; Passerellidae.